GGUUGUAGCUUAGUGGUAAAGUUCUUGCCUCACAUGCAUGAGACACUGGGUUUGAUACUCAGAACCA
This 67-nucleotide transfer RNA is filed under the name Ictidomys tridecemlineatus (thirteen-lined ground squirrel). Its description in RNAcentral is "Spermophilus tridecemlineatus (thirteen-lined ground squirrel) tRNA". It matches the Rfam family "tRNA". Rfam says of the family: Transfer RNA (tRNA) molecules are approximately 80 nucleotides in length. Their secondary structure includes four short double-helical elements and three loops (D, anti-codon, and T loops). Lineage: Eukaryota; Metazoa; Chordata; Mammalia; Rodentia; Sciuridae. The record is from Rfam by way of RNAcentral.